Molecule: long non-coding RNA, 1075 nt
Organism: Bombus terrestris (buff-tailed bumblebee)
Lineage: Eukaryota; Metazoa; Arthropoda; Insecta; Hymenoptera; Apidae
Exons: 3
Source: RefSeq, a predicted model, not a curated record
AUUGCUUAAGAAACUUUGUCCAUAGAGAACCGUCUAUACGAAAACGAAAUUUUCCACUGGGAAUUUUAUUUCAAUUUCGUUAGCACCAGCUGCCAAGGCUUUUAAGUGUUACAAUUGAAAUUUACUUUAGUUAAAAGGAUGCAAUUCUGGUUUCACAAAAAGAGAUGAGACUGAGAGAACGUCGACUGGGACUCGACAAAGGAGUGCAAAGGGUUAAACAACAUCUGCAGUCGCUGAUCCAUGAGACACCUGGUGGAAAAUAGUUGAAAUUCCAGAGAAAACAAUUGAAACGAAGCUUGGAAACCACCCCGGUUUCCUCCACAAUUUCUCCAUUAUGGAGGAUGGCUUUGGUACACCAUCAGCUUGGUAACUUAAUCCCGGAGAAGUUAGAAGAAAGAUGACAGUACGAUGGAGCUGAAGAGGAGAGAAAUUGGCCCGAGGGUCUCCCGCUGAGAAACAAAUUUUUCCGCGAGCAAGUAGGUGCAAAGUACAGUAAGCUCGGCAGCAUUCAGCGGACCCGGGGAUGUAGAGGCGGUAGCACUCGAUGCUGUGCCGUUGGGAGCGUGCUAAUGGCUACUGACACACAGUUUUGAUGGAUCGGCCACGGCUCUUCCUCCUAUCCCGCACUCCGCCGCAACGAAAUAUGCGAGUCUAGCGAUACGCCGACGUUUCACGAUGAGAGGAAAUGCACUGACAAACAGGAAGACGAGCUGCAAAUGUUAUUGCGUUUCGUACGAACGGCAAUCCUGCUGAUGAUCAAUAUCUGGGUCAGCUAACGAAAAACAUUCGUUGAGAUACUAUUUUCAUGAAAUCCUUUGCGUUACACUGUGUCUCUUCAGUUACAUUUUUGGUGAAAGUCGUAGUUCGAGUAAGAGAACCGCCAAUAUCCUGUGUGACAGACGUUGAUCUCGUUUCACAAAUUGUACAACGCUUGUUACGCUCACAUUUUAUACACAAAUUUUCCUGCGAAACACAUCGAGAAUAUAUAUAUGUAAACUGCCUAGAGUUCAUGUAGGAUAGGGAUUCUUUUUGUUUUACGGGUAGCACGACAGGCUGUGUUUCACGGACAGAGCGA